This is a non-coding RNA of Paramuricea clavata, 72 nucleotides long. The record is from the annotation of a GenBank genome assembly. Lineage: Eukaryota; Metazoa; Cnidaria; Anthozoa; Malacalcyonacea; Plexauridae.
GACUCUUUAGCUCAGUUGGUUAGAGCGCUGUACCGGAAUCGCAGGGCGGCAGGAUCGAUUUCUGCCAGAUCG